Molecule: ribosomal RNA, 214 nt
Filed under: uncultured bacterium
Lineage: Bacteria
Description: partial 16S ribosomal RNA
Rfam family: Bacterial small subunit ribosomal RNA
Source: RNAcentral
CGGGCUGAGUAACACGUAGGAACGUACCCCAAACUGAGGCAUAAGCACCAGAAAUGGUGUCUAAUACCGCAUGUGGUCUUCGGAUUAAAGCUUCGGCGGUUUGGGAACGGCCUGCGCAUGAUUAGCUUGUUGGUGAGGUAAAAGCUCACCAAGGCGAUGAUCAUUAGCUGGUCUGAGAGGAUGAUCAGCCAGACUGGGACUGAGAACGGCCCAG